Oreochromis aureus is the source of this 663-nucleotide long non-coding RNA. NCBI's taxonomy places the organism in Eukaryota, Metazoa, Chordata, Actinopteri, Cichliformes, Cichlidae. The record is from Ensembl.
GGGUUGCUUCACAUAUAAUUGUCUCCAGUCGACCUACAUACUAAAUGUGGUAGAAGUGGUAAAAAAGGAGAGCAGUGGAGAGUGGUGUCAGACAGAGGGACACAUGAUUAAACAGUAUUCCAGCGAUGCUCCAUUUGAAGUUGUGUUGGAUGGUGGUAACUGGAUAGAUGGCAUUGUAAAUGGUAUUGUGUCAUGGAGAGCUGUGGCUCUGGUGGAACUGAGGAACAGAUCUGACACCGGCAAAGCCAAUUCAUCACCCCAGACCACCAUCAUACCAGCCGUGAGAGUUCCCUCAAACUGUGCAAGAGAUUUCGUCUUGUUGGCGUUUGACCCUGAUGGUGAUGUGGUUAAGUGCAGAAAUGGGGAUGAAUCACUGUCAGAAUGUAAUCCCUGCACUCCACCAUCUGUCCUCAGCCUCACACCAUGGAUUCUCCAGUGCCAUCCUGCACAGAAGGACUCUUUCUGCCACUAUUCCUGCCUCCAACUCCAGCCAACGGAGCUCAGCUAUAUACCCCUGUAGGACAAACCCUGGAAAUCAGCAUCAAAGCAGAGGCGACAAAUUCCACGAUCUCUGAGCUGCUCUACAGUGGGCCCUACACUAUAUUUCAAAAUAAAACAGGACCAGGAGAGUUCAUCCUCUCAUGGACGCCAUCUGAGAGCGAA